GGACCCGCACAAGCGGUGGAGCAUGUGGUUUAAUUCGAAGCAACGCGAAGAACCUUACCAGGUCUUGACAUCCCCCUGACCGGUCCGUAACGGGACCUUUCCUUCGGGACAGGGGAGACAGGUGGUGCAUGGUUGUCGUCAGCUCGUGUCGUGAGAUGUUGGGUUAAGUCCCGCAACGAGCGCAACCCUUAUUCUUAGUAGCCAGCAAGUGAAGUUGGGCACUCUAGGGAGACUGCCAGGGAUAACCUGGAGGAAGGCGGGGAUGACGUCAAAUCAUCAUGCCCCUUAUGAUCUGGGCUACACACGUGCUACAAUGGUGACUACAAAGGGAAGCGAAGCUGUGAAGUGGAGCAAAUCCCAAAAAGGUCAUCUCAGUUCGGAUUGUAGUCUGCAACUCGACUACAUGAAGCUGGAAUCGCUAGUAAUCGCGAAUCAGAAUGUCGCGGUGAAUACGUUCCCGGGUCUU
Molecule: ribosomal RNA, 466 nt
Filed under: uncultured bacterium
Lineage: Bacteria
Description: bacterial SSU rRNA
Rfam family: Bacterial small subunit ribosomal RNA
Source: RNAcentral